RNAcentral lists this small RNA (109 nucleotides) under Vibrio xiamenensis. RNAcentral's name for it is "Vibrio sp. G21 Qrr RNA". It matches the Rfam family "Qrr RNA". Rfam says of the family: This family represents a set of small RNAs (the Qrr RNAs) that are thought to be involved in the regulation of quorum sensing in Vibrio species. It is believed that these RNAs, guided by a protein, Hfq, can mediate the destabilisation of the quorum-sensing master regulators LuxR/HapR mRNAs. The record is from Rfam by way of RNAcentral. Lineage: Bacteria; Pseudomonadati; Pseudomonadota; Gammaproteobacteria; Vibrionales; Vibrionaceae.
UGACCCUUAUUAAGCCGAGGGUCACCUAGCCAACUGACGUUGUUAGUGAAUAUCAUUUGUUCACAACUUAUGUAGCCAAUCGAAGAAUAUUUCGGUUGGCUUUUUUUUA